This 425-nucleotide unclassified non-coding RNA is filed under the name soil metagenome. RNAcentral's name for it is "partial contains 5.8S ribosomal RNA, internal transcribed spacer 2, and large subunit ribosomal RNA". The stretch from base 1 to 120 matches the Rfam family "5.8S ribosomal RNA", at positions 35 to 154 of the family's 154-position model. The record is from RNAcentral.
GAUGAAGAACGCAGCGAAAUGCGAUAAGUAGUGUGAAUUGCAGAAUUCCGUGAAUCAUCGAAUCUUUGAACGCACAUUGCGCCUUCUGGUAUUCCGGAAGGCAUGCCUGUUCGAGAGUCAUUAACAACCGUUUCGAUCCCUUUCUUUCAGAAAUUACAAAGAGGAAAAGGGUUUGGUUAUGGUGGAGGAGGGAAAGGGAGCGUUUAGCCUGUAAAAAAAGAGGCUGUGUUCCGCCUCCCCCCCAAAAUUGUACAGGCGGUCGUGUGCGCCCACGCAUCGAGGUGUUGUAAAAGCUGCCACGGCACUUUUCACCUGUGCAGUGCGAGAUUGGCCAGCCGGUUUAAAAACCCCUCCAAACAAUCAAAGUUUGACCUCGGAUCAGGUAGGGAUACCCGCUGAACUUAAGCAUAUCAAUAAGCGGAGGA